This 237-nucleotide long non-coding RNA is filed under the name Gossypium barbadense (sea-island cotton). RNAcentral describes it as "long non-coding RNA (GBAR_LNC019098)". The record is from RNAcentral. Lineage: Eukaryota; Viridiplantae; Streptophyta; Magnoliopsida; Malvales; Malvaceae.
AAAAGACAUAUGACAUCUAGAUGUACUUCUUUCAUAUACUCAGAAACGAAAUUAUCAAAGCUGGGCACCUUGACAGUUCCAAAAAAUAAGUUUUGUAUCCAUAAAUAUAAAAAGUGAUAAAAUUCCUCAACAAGAUAGAAUCAACAGCUAGUUUCGGCACUAAUUGAAUCCAUACCUCCAAACUGCUCAGUUACCAUGGUUGUAUCGACUUGCAAACUGAUGCUAGCAGGAUCUCUA